GCUUGCAAGCAAAACAAUUUAGUGCAGUUUUGUUUUCAUUUAUUUCCAGAAACCAUGUCCAAAGAUAUUAUAAAAGCAUAUCAACCCCAGAGAGAAAAAGAAGGAGGAAUCAAAACGACAAAAAAAAGCAUAAGUAGCUGAGGGAACUAAAGAAUUAAGUUCUUAAAGUUGCACUAGGCAACUUGGUGCACAGGCAACAAGGACCUUUUUGACAACUGUUUGAACUUCAGUACCAACAAAUCAUGAAACGUACCUGGAGCAAACUUCAUGCAGCCAGCUCAAGUUCAGCAACCCAGCGGCUCUGUGAUGCUUUACAGCAAAGGAUAGCCGAGAGAUCAGAGAGGCAAAAGAUCUCAUGCUGUUCGUUGCCAAAAUCCGCACCUGGCUGGCACGCCGUGCACGUCCUCCUGCUACCUCCACAGCUGUUCAGAAGAAACACCGUCCCUCCCAUUCCUGAAAAUUCACAAUCCAUGAACAGUGGAUUAGUGCACCAUACUUAGAGCGCUGAUCAGCUUGGCCCAGUUGAGGAAAAGCAAAAUCGAAGACAUUUGGCACAUUCCCCAAGGAACUUGACCCUAAAAUGAGUCUCAAUGUACAGGGAGUGGUUUAACAGAUGGGGGGUCCAUACAGCUGAGAGGAUGGCUGAGUGCAGUCCAGAGGACAGA
Long non-coding RNA from Myripristis murdjan (pinecone soldierfish), 665 nucleotides. RefSeq lists it as uncharacterized. Lineage: Eukaryota; Metazoa; Chordata; Actinopteri; Holocentriformes; Holocentridae. The record is from RefSeq and is a predicted model, not a curated record. The transcript is spliced from 3 exons.